GGGGCUGUGGCGAAAUUGGUAGACGCAACCGACUCGCACUCCGUUCGCUGGUGCACAACCAGCCCCACCA
Molecule: transfer RNA, 70 nt
Filed under: Paracoccaceae bacterium
Lineage: Bacteria; Pseudomonadati; Pseudomonadota; Alphaproteobacteria; Rhodobacterales; Paracoccaceae
Description: Rhodobacteraceae bacterium tRNA-Ala
Source: RNAcentral